Molecule: ribosomal RNA, 253 nt
Filed under: uncultured bacterium
Lineage: Bacteria
Description: partial 16S ribosomal RNA
Rfam family: Bacterial small subunit ribosomal RNA
Source: RNAcentral
UACAUGGGGUGCAACCGUUGCUCGGAAUUAUUGGGCGUAAAGCGCACGUAGGUGGUUUGUUAUGUCGGAUGUGAAAGCCCUCGGCUCAACUGAGGAAGUGCAUCCGAAACUGGCAAGCUAGAGUAUGUAAGAGGGUCGCGGAAUUCCCGGUGUAGAGGUGAAAUUCGUAGAUAUCGGGAGGAACACCGGUGGCGAAGGCGGCGACCUGGGACAAUACUGACACUGAGGUGCGAAAGCGUGGGGAGCAAACAGG